This 516-nucleotide ribosomal RNA is filed under the name Apodrosus zayasi. RNAcentral's name for it is "partial 12S ribosomal RNA". Lineage: Eukaryota; Metazoa; Arthropoda; Insecta; Coleoptera; Curculionidae. The record is from RNAcentral.
GGUUAUACAGGUGAUUUUAUUAAAAUUUUUCGGUAGUAAUAAUUAAGUAUAAGUUAAGGAUUAUAAAGAUUUUUAUUAGGUGAAAUUUUAAAAUUUUAGUUAAUCUUUAAAAAAUUUAUAAAUUUAAUAAACUUUUUUUUAAACUAGGAUUAGAUACCCUAUUAUUUUUAGUAUAAAAUUUUUACCAGAUUAGUAAUAGUUAAAUUCUUGAAAAUUAAAGAAAAUGGCGGUAUUUUAGUCUAUUCAGAGGAACCUGUUCUAUAAUUGAUGAUCCACGAUUUAAUUUACUUAUUUUUAGUUUACAUAUCGUCGUAGAUGAAUAUUUUUAUAAAAAUUUAAUAUUCAAGAUUUUUUUUAUAAAGAAAAUCAGAUCAAGGUGUAGCUUAUAGAUAAGAAGAGAUGGGUUACAUUAAGUUUACUUAUAGAUAUAAAUAUGAAAAAUUUCUUGAAAGUGGAUUUGAAGGUAAUUUUAUUUUAAAUUAAUAAGAUGAUUUAAGUUCUAAAGUAUGUACAUAU